Molecule: transfer-messenger RNA, 356 nt
Filed under: Lachnospiraceae bacterium
Lineage: Bacteria; Bacillati; Bacillota; Clostridia; Lachnospirales; Lachnospiraceae
Rfam family: transfer-messenger RNA
About the family: Bacterial tmRNA, also known as 10Sa RNA or SsrA, is named for its dual tRNA and mRNA-like properties. Its role is to liberate the mRNA from a stalled ribosome.
Source: RNAcentral
GGGUUAGUAAAGGUUUCGACAGGGAUUUUGAAGCUGGAGAAGCUAUCCGAAGGACGGUUGCGUUAAACCUCAAAUUAAAAUUAAACGCUAACGAUAAUUUAGCACUCGCUGCCUAAGUGCGGCGCGUCGGCUCUGAUGCACCUACACACCAGAUAACCGGCGUCAAACUUUGUAGGAAACGACAUGGAAGAUGCCUCGAUUCCAUGGACGUAUCAGGGGCUACUGAUUAUCUGCAGUUGCCAGUUACCGCAGGUAUGAGGGAACAGGAAUGCAGAAUUCCGAAAUAACCGGCUAUGAUAGUAGAAGGACAGGGGAUGAAUUUUUGGACGCGGGUUCGACUCCCGCCUAAUCCAUCA